This 253-nucleotide ribosomal RNA is filed under the name uncultured bacterium. Its description in RNAcentral is "partial 16S ribosomal RNA". It matches the Rfam family "Bacterial small subunit ribosomal RNA", at positions 524 to 776 of the family's 1533-position model. The record is from RNAcentral.
UACGAAGGGGGCUAGCGUUGCUCGGAAUUACUGGGCGUAAAGGGCGCGUAGGCGGAUAUCUAAGUUGGGGGUGAAAUCCCGGGGCUCAACCUCGGAAUUGCCUUCAAAACUGGGUAUCUUGAGUUCGGGAGAGGUGAGUGGAAUUCCUGGUGUAGCGGUGAAAUGCGCAGAUAUCAGGAGGAACACCGGUGGCGAAGGCGGGUCUCUGGGCCGAAACUGACGCUGAGGAGCGAAAGCGUGGGGAGCAAACAGG